Molecule: transfer RNA, 72 nt
Filed under: Camelus bactrianus (Bactrian camel)
Lineage: Eukaryota; Metazoa; Chordata; Mammalia; Artiodactyla; Camelidae
Also listed under: 1 other name
Rfam family: tRNA
About the family: Transfer RNA (tRNA) molecules are approximately 80 nucleotides in length. Their secondary structure includes four short double-helical elements and three loops (D, anti-codon, and T loops). Further hydrogen bonds mediate the characteristic L-shaped molecular structure. tRNAs have two regions of fundamental functional importance: the anti-codon, which is responsible for specific mRNA codon recognition, and the 3' end, to which the tRNAs corresponding amino acid is attached (by aminoacyl-tRNA synthetases). tRNAs cope with the degeneracy of the genetic code in two manners: having more than one tRNA (with a specific anti-codon) for a particular amino acid; and 'wobble' base-pairing, i.e. permitting non-standard base-pairing at the 3rd anti-codon position.
Source: Rfam by way of RNAcentral
GAGGGUAUAGCUCAAGUGGCAGAGCACAUGCUUAGCAUGCAUGAGGUCCUGGUUCAAUCCCCAGUACCCGCC